UGGCACCAUCUCUAUGGCCAUUGGUACUUGGAAUCAGCUCUUUCCUGUAUAGCAUUUCUUAUAGCAGUCUCCUUUGAGUCAAAAGGACUGAUUAUUUUACGUCAAAGAUACCUACUGGUUUUCCUCUGAAUCUGCUAUUGGGUAUCAAAGAGAUAGAAAUGAAAAUGCUCAAUUAUCAUAAAAAGCAACUGUGCAAGUCACAGUAGUUUCUCUCUCUCUCUCCCUCUCUGCACUGGUCUCCCAUUCUUCCUUUCGCUCCUCUUCCUCUUCUCUCUCUCUCUCUCUUUUCAUCCCUCCCUCUCUUCCUCUUUCUUCUCUCUCCCAUCUCUCUGCUUUGUUUCUGCUUCCUCUUUGUCUCUGGCUUUCUCCUUUGAUCUCUGUCUCUCUAUGUGAGUAUGUCUUUCCUAUCCCAGUUUCCUCUCUAUCUCUAUCUCUUUCUCUCAGGCUUUCUCAGGUUCUCUCUGUCUCUCCUAUCUGUCUUCUGUCUCUGUCAGUCUGUCUGUCUCUCUCACUAAGAGGGUCUGCUUGGUGGGCAUUUGCUUUUCUAGACCAGGAUGAGGCAGUGUUAGGGGAGACACAGCUGAUAUUCUGGGAGAAGGAGAAGAAAGGUGAAUCAGAUGAGCUUCAGAGAGUUAACUUGCCUAUGUAACUUAGAAGACAAUAUAAUAGAAGAACAAGACAAUAGAAGACUUAGGAGACAAUUUCUUCCAGAUCUUCUAAACCUUCCAGAUUCCAAGGCCAUUGCUCAUUUUAUAACAUCAUAUAGAUUGUUUAGCACCAGCUCUCUGGCCCUUGCUUUCCUCUAGUAAACCACCUUGGCAGAUGGGGUGAACCAGGGUGAGGGUACAAACAUGUUAGUGAGUUAGGGGGGUAUCCACCUCAGGCAAGCAAAGACUUCCACCUGAAGAAUGGGUGGAUGAUAACAAUUUGGUCCAAUGGCCAUGAUGGCUGUUGAAGUAGGAGCUAUGGAGCACUUAGAGCUUGGUCAGACAUAGAAGACUCCAAAGUCAUCCAUUGCAUCUCAGGCCAUCACCAAUCAUCCUGAAUUUUGUCUUGCCACCAGACUUGGAUGACUCUGGAGGAGAUUUUGAGGCUGAUGACUUUGUGCAACUCUGUCUCACUUAAAUCCAGUUCAUGUACAAGUCAAAACAUCAAGCUAUGAAGGCAUCUGUCCUCUUGGAAUACAAAAUAUGAAUAACAACAAUAACAUACAGCUUGUCUAGCACCAACUCUAUUGCCCUUGCUAUGGGGAACUUUUUUUUUGUCAGACCAGGCAUCUCUCAAUAAUCAAAAUGCAUGGUGAAUAAUCUAUAUCAAAUUGCUUAACUUCUCAAGGAAUGGGGAGAGGAAGAAGUUAGAACUCAAAAUUUUUUAAAUAAAUGUUAACAUUUUUGGCUUUAAAAAAAUCA
RNAcentral lists this long non-coding RNA (1409 nucleotides) under Monodelphis domestica (gray short-tailed opossum). RNAcentral describes it as "lncRNA (ENSMODG00000043244.1)". The record is from RNAcentral. Lineage: Eukaryota; Metazoa; Chordata; Mammalia; Didelphimorphia; Didelphidae.